GGUGGCCUAGUGGUUAGUGCGUCUGCAUCGGAUGCGGGAGGUCGUGGGUUCGAUCCUCGGCGUAGUUAUACCA
Non-coding RNA from Potamilus streckersoni, 73 nucleotides. Lineage: Eukaryota; Metazoa; Mollusca; Bivalvia; Unionida; Unionidae. The record is from the annotation of a GenBank genome assembly.